UAACGGGGCUCAAAUAUAGCACCGAAGCUGCGGCAUCAGACGAAAGUCUGUUGGGUAGGGGAGCGUUCUGUAAGCGGAUGAAGGUGAAUCGAGAGGUUUGCUGGACGUAUCAGAAGUGCGAAUGCUGACAUAAGUAACGAUAAAACGGGUGAAAAACCCGUUCGCCGGAAGACCAAGGGUUCCUGUCCAACGUUAAUCGGGGCAGGGUGAGUCGGCCCCUAAGGCGAGGCUGAAAAGCGUAGUCGAUGGGAAACGGGUUAAUAUUCCCGUACUUGGUUAAACUGCGAUGUGGGGACGGAGUAGGUUAGGUUAUCGCACUGUUGGAUAUGUGCGUUUAAGUUGGUAGGUGUGAAGUUUAGGCAAAUCCGGACUUCAUUUAACACCGAGAGAUGAUGACGAGGCUCUACGGAGCUGAAGUAACCGAUACCACACUUCCAGGAAAAGCCACUAAGCUUCAGGUUUAUCUAAACCGUACUGAAAACCGACACAGGUGGUCAGGUAGAGAAUACUCAGGCGCUUGAGAGAACUCGGGUGAAGGAACUAGGCAAAAUAGCACCGUAACUUCGGGAGAAGGUGCGCCGGCGUAGAUUGUAGUCCCUCGCGGAUGAAGGUUGAACCGGUCGAAGAUACCAGCUGGCUGCAACUGUUUAUUAAAAACACAGCACUCUGCAAACACGAAAGUGGACGUAUAGGGUGUGAUGCCUGCCCGGUGCUGGAAGGUUAAUUGAUGGUGUAAUCGAAAGAGAAGCUCCUGAUCGAAGCCCCAGUAAACGGCGGCCGUAACUAUAACGGUCCUAAGGUAGCGAAAUUCCUUGUCGGGUAAGUUCCGACCUG
Molecule: ribosomal RNA, 834 nt
Filed under: Porphyromonadaceae bacterium
Lineage: Bacteria; Pseudomonadati; Bacteroidota; Bacteroidia; Bacteroidales; Porphyromonadaceae
Description: partial 23S ribosomal RNA
Rfam family: Bacterial large subunit ribosomal RNA
Source: RNAcentral